AUAAACAAAAAAUUGGAUAACAACGGGUUUUGAACUCGGUAGUCAUGUUGUGUGAUUUUUCUUUCUCUUUUUUUUCGUGCAUCACAUAUACUCUGGGGGUUAAUUUCACUCUUUUGACUCUUUUUCUACUCGAAUUUUCCGAGCAUUUUAUAUCUGUUAGAGUCUUAAGUCUCGGCAAGUGCAUUUUUCUCUUUUGUUUUUCUUUUCUUUUUUCUCUUUUUUUUUUUCUUUUUUUUUUCUUUUAAAGAAAAUACAUACUAUUUUUCUUUUUGUAUGAUCUCAUCUUAUGCACUUGCCUUCUCUUUCAAGAUUUCCACCCCAAACUUAGUUUUAUUGCACAUCUUGCAAUUCAC
This 353-nucleotide long non-coding RNA is filed under the name Lathyrus oleraceus (garden pea). Its description in RNAcentral is "Pisum sativum (pea) long non-coding RNA (PSAT_LNC001485)". Lineage: Eukaryota; Viridiplantae; Streptophyta; Magnoliopsida; Fabales; Fabaceae. The record is from RNAcentral.